GCAGCUUUGAAAAGGGCUUAGCAAGCUCUCUCACUGGAGAUGCUAGUCCUUCCUGAACAUCCCAUGUACCCUAAUUAUCCAAGAAGAUAAAUGACAAACAAAAGAAUUUCAAUUUUUAUUUAAAGGCAAUGGGAAUCAUUGGAGUUUCUGUAGCAGAAGAAUUAGAAAGUAAAACCUGUGAUUUAGAAAUAUCAGCAUGGCAACUAUGUAAAUGAUGGAAUGAGGGGAUGAAAGACUGCAGACAUGGAAAGCAAUUAAGAUCUAGGCACCAUACCAUAGUGGACAGAGAGACAGCUUCACAGUUAAGAAGACCUCGAUUGAUGAUUGCUGGUCCGCUGAAUCACCGCCUGCCACACACACUCUUGCUUGAUGGAAGAGUGAACCUGGACAUCAAGCCACCCUGUUCUGUCCACAGUAGCUGCUGCUGAAUAUAAGGGUAUGUGUGUGGGCCAACACCAGAAUUCACCAGAUGCUUUGCAUAUAAAGUUAAUGUGUAAAAAUAGGAAACAAAACCAAUCUUUGUGCUAAAGCAACUCAUUAAGUCUGCAUUUGAACUGGGAACCAGAGGAAGCCUCAGAAUUGCUGGUUGAGAUGAAGAAGGAUGUGUUUUGCUCUGCAUAGUCAUGUUAUUAUAGAAUAAUGUGUGCUUCUGAAGCCUGAAUGUGGUAAUACCUUUGCUAAUAUUACUUUACUAAAGGUUGCCACCAUCCAUUCAAGUAUUUAUUAAUAAAAGAGUACAAUUUGGAUUUAGCA
RNAcentral lists this long non-coding RNA (753 nucleotides) under Monodelphis domestica (gray short-tailed opossum). RNAcentral describes it as "lncRNA (ENSMODG00000050638.1)". The record is from RNAcentral. Lineage: Eukaryota; Metazoa; Chordata; Mammalia; Didelphimorphia; Didelphidae.